Long non-coding RNA from Bombus pascuorum, 875 nucleotides. RefSeq lists it as uncharacterized. NCBI's taxonomy places the organism in Eukaryota, Metazoa, Arthropoda, Insecta, Hymenoptera, Apidae. The record is from RefSeq and is a predicted model, not a curated record. The transcript has 2 exons.
ACUUAGUUGGUAACCUGUAUCUGAUGCCAGAAAUAAAGAAAAUCUCGAGGAUAAAGAAGUAAUUAUUUUCUAAAUCGUGGAUUCGUUCGUUCAAUUUGUAAAAACGUUAUAACCAAGAAACCUUGAUCCAAUUCGAUUAACAUUGUUGCUUGUAUAAGCACAUUCAUCCUGCACGGUAAUUCAAAUGGACAGAAUAAUGCGUUCGCACGUAAUGCAGUAGCGUGUAAUUUUGAUCGUACAAUUUUACAUCAACGCGAAUGCCAUGAAUACAAACUAACACGCAGAGAACAAAGUUAUCAGGAGGAGCCAGUUGGUUAGUUUGCUUUUGGAAUAACAUGAAAGGAGAACACGCGAUCAAUGAUUAGUAUAAUGCAUACAGUGGUUGCUAUAAUUAGACAGAAGCACUUGAACGUUAUGAAGAUGAAAGACGCGAAGAAUGUAAAAGGAAAUAUAAAAACUAGUUUCCGUGAAAUCGUUACUUUUAACUUUAGGAAUUAAUUUUACUAUUUUUAACUUAGAAAUUCUUUCCAUCCUUUCUCCUCCUCCUUUUUAUAUUUAUACCACCAAUAUGGUAAUAAUAAUUCUAAUCCUAUUCUUAGUAUCAUCCAGAAAUAAGAGAUCAGAAAUAAUUUAUUUUGCUCAUCAACUCAUUGAUAGGUACAAACAGGUUGUUGCUAAAGUACAUCCGAGUCAGUAAAUCGACCGUUAGUACAUCGGAUCCACUCGAUCGCACUCUACUUUACCAACCAUCAAUACAUAUAAAUACACAUAUGUUGUUUCAGCAGAGAUACGAACCACGUUUUGAGUAGACUAAUUGUAACCAAUUAUAGCAUACAAAUCCUGAUUAUAUACCAAAUAAAUUUUUUUCAAACAAA